GCCUUCGUGGUGUAGUGGUUCUGCACGCUGGGCCAGUAUUCCAGAGAUCCGUGGUUCGAUUCCCGGCGAAGGCG
RNAcentral lists this transfer RNA (74 nucleotides) under Stegodyphus dumicola. RNAcentral describes it as "tRNA-Thr". It matches the Rfam family "tRNA". From Rfam's summary of the family: Transfer RNA (tRNA) molecules are approximately 80 nucleotides in length. Lineage: Eukaryota; Metazoa; Arthropoda; Arachnida; Araneae; Eresidae. The record is from RNAcentral.